Non-coding RNA from Pelobates cultripes (western spadefoot toad), 1945 nucleotides. The record is from the annotation of a GenBank genome assembly. Lineage: Eukaryota; Metazoa; Chordata; Amphibia; Anura; Pelobatidae.
GCCCCUCAUACCAUAAGGACAGGACACCUAAGCGCAGCCACGAAUGCUACCCAAUCAAUCAAUGGCUAAUACAAUGAAAAUUUUAUCUCUCAAUGUCAAAGGCCUCAACAGCCCGUACAAAAGAAGACAAGCUCUAAAAGACAUGCACAACUCCAAUGCCGCUAUAGUAUGCCUUCAAGAAACUCAUUUUUGCAAAAAGAACCCUCCUAAUCUACGAUCCUCCAAAUACCCCAUAGCUUAUCAUGCUUAUGCGCCAAACAAAUCAAAAGGUGUAACCAUCCUACUACAUGCAGACUGGGUAUUCACCCCAACCAACCAACAUGUUGACCCAAAUGGGAGAUUGCUAAUUAUAGUGGGAGACCUUAACGGAAUCCAAGUGACGAUAGCGUCCUUAUACGCACCAAAUGAGGCUCAAUUCUCCUUUCUCAACAAAGCCAUAAAGAAAAUCUCCUCACUAAAACAAGGACAUGUUAUAAUUUGCGGUGAUUGCAACUGUACACUAGACCCUACAUUAGAUAUUCAACGUGCCAACGAUAAAAAGCCUAACAAACUAACCAUCCACAACAGCAAAUCAUUUUCCAAUCUUAUUUUCUCUCACGACCUCUAUGAUACGUGGAGAAACCUAUUCCCAGCUGCUAAGGAUUUCACUUACUUCUCUCCGGUCCACUUAACAUAUACCCGAAUAGAUAUCUGCUUGAUAGAUAAAUCCACAUUACCUCAUCUUUUAGAUCAAACGAUAGGGACCAGAACAUGGUCGGACCAUGCCCCAAUAAUUAUCACAAUAGCAGUGCCUUACCCAACGAGAGGCCGAGGCAAAUGGAGAUUAAAUGAGUCCAUUCUUGACACACCUUCGAAUUUAGAGAAGAUUGCCCGCGAUUUGCAAAACUAUUUCGAAAUCAACACUACAAAUGAUACAUCAAUAGAAACCCAAUGGCUCGCUCACAAAGCGGUGAUCAGAGGAGAAUUUAUCAAAAUAGGAUCAAUCAACAAGAAGAAAUCUCAUAACCUACAACGAAAGUUGCUCCAGAAACUCACGACUUUGGAAAAUGUCAACAAACUAACCCCUUCCCGCAACACGACGAAACAAAUAACAGAAACGCGUGAAGAGAUACUAAAAAUUAAGGUCAAAGAAUUCACCACGAACGCAGCUAAACUUCAACGUCACUAUUAUGGCAUGGGCAAUAAAGCCGGAAAAUUGCUAGCAAACCAACUGAAAUCCAAAUAUCUUCAAACGAAAAUCCCAUACAUUCUCUCAAAGUCACAGAUAAAAAUAUAUAAUCCUACCGACAUAGUGAACGAAUUAGCAUCUUUCUAUGAAGAACUAUACAACCUAGACGCAAACGAGAAUACGCACACUCCAGACAAAACAGAAAUUCUAACCUAUUUAGAAAAAAAUACAAUUGCCAAAAAUUUCACAACAACAAAAUAACACGCUUACUGCCCCGUUCACGGAAUCCGAAGUAGCUGCGGCUAUCAAAUCUCUCCCCAGGCAUAAAGCCCCAGGCCCAGACGGUCUCCCGAAUUACUAUUAUCUUAAAUUAGAACCAUACCUAUCCCCGCACAUAACCAAACUUUUUAAUAAAAUAAAAGAAACUGGCCAUUUCCCUAGAACCAUGUUGGAAGCAUACGUCAUUACCCUACCCAAGCCGAAUAAACCACCCACUUCCUGUGGCAAUCUACGACCAAUUUCGCUAUUAAAUGCUGAUGUGAAGCUCUAUGCAAAACUUGUAGCCACAAGAUUGAAACCCUUGCUAUCUACCUUGGUUUCGGAAGAACAAGCAGGCUUCGUGCCUGGCAAGCAGGUGGGAGACAAUACCAGAUUUUGCAUGGACCUCAUCGACUGGGCAACUCGUCAACGUGUGUCCGGGGUCUUAAUGGCCUUGGACGCAGAAAAGGCUUUUGAUCGCCUUAAUUGGACGUACAUGGAGACUGUUUUACAAGCUUA